GAUGAACGCUGGCGGCGUGCCUAAUACAUGCAAGUCGAGCGAACGGACGAGAAGCUUGCUUCUCUGAUGUUAGCGGCGGACGGGUGAGUAACACGUGGAUAACCUACCUAUAAGACUGGGAUAACUUCGGGAAACCGGAGCUAAUACCGGAUAAUAUUUUGAACCGCAUGGUUCAAAAGUGAAAGACGGUCUUGCUGUCACUUAUAGAUGGAUCCGCGCUGCAUUAGCUAGUUGGUAAGGUAACGGCUUACCAAGGCAACGAUGCAUAGCCGACCUGAGAGGGUGAUCGGCCACACUGGAACUGAGACACGGUCCAGACUCCUACGGGAGGCAGCAGUAGGGGAUCUUCCGCAAUGGGCGAAAGCCUGACGGAGCAACGCCGCGUGAGUGAUGAAGGUCUUCGGAUCGUAAAACUCUGUUAUUGGGGAAGAACAUAUGUGUAAGUAACUGUGCACAUCUUGACGGUACCUAAUCAGAAAGCCACGGCUAACUACGUG
This 497-nucleotide ribosomal RNA is filed under the name uncultured bacterium. RNAcentral's name for it is "partial 16S ribosomal RNA". It matches the Rfam family "Bacterial small subunit ribosomal RNA", at positions 28 to 507 of the family's 1533-position model. The record is from RNAcentral.